RNAcentral lists this ribosomal RNA (433 nucleotides) under uncultured bacterium. RNAcentral describes it as "partial 16S ribosomal RNA". It matches the Rfam family "Bacterial small subunit ribosomal RNA", at positions 29 to 507 of the family's 1533-position model. The record is from RNAcentral.
AACGAACGCUGGCGGCAUGCCUAACACAUGCAAGUCGAACGAGACCUUCGGGUCUAGUGGCGAACGGGUGCGUAACGCGUGGGAACCUGCCCUUAGGUUCGGAAUAACUCCCCGAAAGGGGUGCUAAUACCGGAUAAUGUCUUCGGACCAAAGAUUUAUCGCCUUUGGAUGGGCCCGCGUUGGAUUAGCUAGUUGGUAGGGUAAAAGCCUACCAAGGCGACGAUCCAUAGCUGGUCUGAGAGGAUGAUCAGCCACACUGGGACUGAGACACGGCCCAGACCCCUACGGGAGGCAGCAGUGGGGAAUAUUGGACAAUGGGCGAAAGCCUGAUCCAGCAAUGCCGCGUGAGUGAUGAAGGCCUUAGGGUUGUAAAGCUCUUUUACCCGGGAUGAUAAUGACAGUACCGGGAGAAUAAGCUCCGGCUAACUCCGUG